Molecule: long non-coding RNA, 608 nt
Filed under: Olea europaea subsp. europaea
Lineage: Eukaryota; Viridiplantae; Streptophyta; Magnoliopsida; Lamiales; Oleaceae
Source: RNAcentral
GGAAGAAAAUGCUAAGUUGAAACAGCAAGCAGAAGUGAGAGUCGAUCUUUUAUUUUCCAAAAUUAUAUAUCAUUUCUCGCAUUCAUGCAUUGGAAUUCAGUAGUAAAUUUCGCAUUCUCAAGUCAUAAAGUGAGCUGUUUAUGCAGAAAUCUGAAGGUACUGGAAAUGCUAUUGAGCAAAGCAAUUCAUCCGAGUGUAUCACCAAUUCUCAUGGCUCUGAUACUUCCCUCCGGCUGGGGUACUUGAUUUUCAUUAAAUUCAUGUGACCUAAUUCAAAUUUACACAAAAAAGUAUUGUCUUAGUAGGCUGUAGUCUCUGAUCUUUUUGACUGUAUGCUUAUGUUAAUUUUGGCAGCUUACCUUUCUCCAACUGAAGAUGAUGCCAGGAGACUACAGCCCAGAAGGAUAAUUGUCUAUUUUUCCUAUUUGGAUAUAAUUAUAAAUUGUUGUGUAAGUGAGUUGAGUGUUAGGGGCCAAUGUUGUGGAUUUACGUGGCUUCUGAAAAUUUAAAUCUUGUUUUGAAUUUGCUUGUGCUAUAUAUUUAUGAUGAAAUCAUGCUAUUGAAAUCAUACUAUCCAAGGAAAUUAUACGAGGUACAUAAAAGUGAAA